This 291-nucleotide unclassified non-coding RNA is filed under the name Bombus terrestris (buff-tailed bumblebee). Its description in RNAcentral is "misc RNA ENSBTSG00005038156.1". Lineage: Eukaryota; Metazoa; Arthropoda; Insecta; Hymenoptera; Apidae. The record is from RNAcentral.
CACGCGGUUUCCUCUGUGUGUCUGGGGCCUGCCGGCUCCAUCCACUAUGAUACACGAGGAUCUCGGAAGGGAGCCAUUUUUAAAACGUCCGGCCGCAAGCCGGGAGAUUUAUGACAGGCCCCGGUAGCCUCGAUAAUAACAACGACGAUUCCAUCCGAGGAAUCGUGUACACUGCAAAUAAUGGAGACGAUUAGCGAACGUUUUGUGAGACAUCGCUGCGUUCAGAUAUCGCCGAAGCGUACAGAAACUGAGAGUUUCGAGUAUCGAAAGUGCAUACGUACAGGAAAAUUG